This 73-nucleotide transfer RNA is filed under the name Trematomus bernacchii (emerald rockcod). Its description in RNAcentral is "tRNA-Val". Lineage: Eukaryota; Metazoa; Chordata; Actinopteri; Perciformes; Nototheniidae. The record is from RNAcentral.
CAGGAUAUAGCUAAGAUAGAAUAGUCUCUCCCUUACUCUGAGAAGUCCUCCGUGCAAAUCGGAUUAUUCUGAC